GUUAACCCCAGAGUCUUCUGGCUGCCGCUGCCUCCUCGGCUUUUAAUCUUCUGUGGAUAUUUCUUCGAUUUUUCCCAAACGCCCACAGAUCCUGGGGGAAGCCACCCCAUUCAGCCACCGACCAUGGAAGAAAGUCUGACUUUUUAUUUACCAAAUAUUUUAAAGAUGUUUGAAGAUCCAUAUGCUGCCUGGAAGCUGUUUUUUCUAGAGACCCAAGUCUCCUGCCUAUAUUGUUACAAUUUUUUUUCAAGAACUGGUUUCUUCUUUGCCUCCACUAAUGGUAAGUUUGUAAUUUUAAACAUUUCUGGGAUUAAAUCUUUGAAGGAGCCACCAGAUAAAAAGGAUUUUCAUUGUGUUUCUUCUCCCCAAACCAAUCUUUGUAUUUUUCUUUAGCUUUGAUCUCUGCACGUUCUACCUAAUCUUGUGUGGUUAAUUUUUACCAAAAGAAAAAAAAUAGUUUUUUUUUAUUGUUAAAGCUAAAUAUGUAUAAUGGAAAUUAUACUUUAAUUGCUGUGAACUAUAGGGGAACUCAAAUAUUUCAAAAUGGACUUGUUUUGUGCCAGCAAUGUUGGUAAUGCCAAAUAUGUGCAUAUCCUCUUUAUAAAAAUUAUGUAUUACCUAAUUUGUCCAGAACUAUAUUAUCAGCAGGCAAACUGUGGAUGUAGUUUAAAAAAAAUAGGCCUAUUUUGGUUCUCCUGAUGGAUUACUUGAAUGCAAACUACAGAAAAGCUGCCCUUGGUUUAAUGAAGGUGGAGAUUGACAUAACCG
This 768-nucleotide long non-coding RNA is filed under the name Marmota monax (woodchuck). Lineage: Eukaryota; Metazoa; Chordata; Mammalia; Rodentia; Sciuridae. The record is from RNAcentral.